Molecule: long non-coding RNA, 640 nt
Filed under: Citrus sinensis (sweet orange)
Lineage: Eukaryota; Viridiplantae; Streptophyta; Magnoliopsida; Sapindales; Rutaceae
Description: long non-coding RNA (CSIN_LNC001482)
Source: RNAcentral
CAACAACAUUUUCCUCAUCAAGCAAUACUUCACUAAAUGAACUAACAGUCUUCUUUGAAGACUUGGUCUUCUUUUUCUUGUCCGUGAAAAUAAUAGGUUCAUCUUCUUCAUCCUUGUCUUUCUUCUCAUCAUCAUCCUCAUCCUCAUUUUCAAGCAGAUCCAAUGCAGAACUCCUCAUCCUGCCACCCUUAUUCGACUUCUUUUUCUUGUCCGUGAAAGUAAUAGGUUCAUCAUCUUCAUCUUUGUCUUCCUUCACAUCAUCAUUUUCAUUGACAAGCAGAUCGAAAGCAGAACUGUUCUUGCCACUCUUCUUUGAUUUCUUUUUCUUGUCUGUGAAAAUAACAGGUUCAUCUUCUUCAUCUUUGUCUUCCCUCACAUCCUCAUCUUCAUCAUCAAGAAGAUCAAAAGCAGAGGCCGAAAAUCCAGUAGUACCGCUCUUCUUCUUGCCACCUUUCUUUGACUUCUCCACCACAUCAUCAUCAUCAUCAUCACUCUCCUCCACAGAAUGAUCAUCAUCAAUCACCUCACUUUCACUACCACCAUCAACUGCAUCAAAAGCCGCUGCCGUAAACAGACUACCACUCUUAUUCCCACCUUUCUUCAAACCCUCCUUCGUUUUACCCUUACUCGCCAGAGAAAC